Molecule: long non-coding RNA, 3446 nt
Organism: Carassius gibelio (silver crucian carp)
Lineage: Eukaryota; Metazoa; Chordata; Actinopteri; Cypriniformes; Cyprinidae
Exons: 2
Source: RefSeq, a predicted model, not a curated record
UUGGUCGGUGGGCGGGGAGUGUUUAGGUUUUCUUGUAUUGUUUUUUCAGCGGUGUCGGGAUCGGUGCUUGGAAAAACCAAAACCUUUAUCUUUUUAGCCCAGUUCCAGAGAGAGAACAGAUAGCCCUGUCUGUGCUUGGAAAUACAGUUACUAUUAUGUGAAUGAAAUGUUGUACAAAUCAGUGUCUGAAAAUAAUGAUAAUUCUGAAAUUUUUAAGUUAAGCGUUUUAUUUCACCUGCCAUGAAUUAACGUAGUCGCAUGCUGUAGAAUUUGCUUAAACAGGAGCUGACGUCUUUAGGCCCACUUACCUCCACCGGGACGACGAAACCGAUAUGAAACUGAGAAAUUUUGACCAUUGAAGUUUGAGACAUGCUGUGCAUACAUCCUUUACUUUUACUGGCGAAGCUAUGCACCUGUGUGAGAAACUGUGAGGGAGAAAUGACAUAGGCCUAUAUUUCCUGCAGAUGGCCUGUAAAUCAUGGCCAUGCUUCCUGAAAUUGUCUCGAAUUAAAAAGCGACGGUUGCGAAAUGUCCUGUUUGAGAAAAACCUUUGCGUGAGUUUUCUAAAUCAAAACGUUCGAUCUGAGAAUCGCGAGAAACCCUUUUGGCUUUUCUUUAAACGUUUUGAAGUGGCAUCUGACAUGGCAGAGUCUUCUGUUCUUUUUCCACUGUAAACAGAUGCACUUUCUUUAAUAGUUGUGACUUUUUUUAAUGGUUUUUUUUUCUUUCUCUGCGAUAAUGUACAAUAAUUGUGAUGUAUUUGUGUGUGCUGCCACCAGUAAAGAUUAAUUGCAGUUCAAUUAAAAUGGAUUCCCCUUAUUUUCUCUCUCCAUUUAAUAACUGUAGAUCUCAGCACUCCCUAUCUCACCUUUUGUAUUUAAGUUCAGUCUGUCGGUGUACCACAGAAAGCUGGAUGCAAAAUAGAUACUAUAUUAAAAUGUACUGUUAUUUAAGAUGUAAUAAAACAAGUUUGCGAUGUCUCUGAUGUGCUGAUGUUUUGCAAUAGAGUUUGCCGCAGCAGAAAGUAACCGUAGUAAAAUAGCUUUUUUUAAGGUCCGUUCUGAUGUUUUUAUCAGCUGUUUGGACUCGUUCUGGCGGCACCCAUUCGCUGCAGAGGAUGCAUUGCUAAACAAAAGAUGUAAUGCUAAAUUUGUCCAAAUCUGUUGUGAUGAACAAACAAACUCAUCUGCAUCUUGGAUGUCCUGAGGGUACGCCUGCUUGUUAAUACAAUCUAACGAGCCAAUCAUGAACCAGCAACUCGGUGCAUAAGAGCAUGUUGAAAUUGUACAGAAGUUCAGCUGUUCUAGAAACCGAGCAUCAGAAUUGCUAAGAAACAUGGUGUUAUUGCAAACAUGAAUAUGUAGUCAAAAACAAGAUGCUAUCAUGCCUCUUAUGUGUCUCUAGGCAAGAUAUCCAGUGCUUUCAUGCUUUAUUGAUGCAUGUUAAUAAAUGGUUUUCAAUGCAAUAUUCUUUGGUGGUCGAGAAUGUUUAGAUGAGAACACGUGCCUCAAUAAUAACUGUCAGAUGUGAUCUCUUUCUUGUGUGUUGUUUUUCCUCCUUUUCUCCAAAGGAAAUGAUUUUGGGCCAAUUAUACCUUAUCUGACAGACCUAUUGGUGUUUCUUGGGAAAAGUAUGCAUGCUAAGCCACAUGUAUGGAAGAUGCCUCAGUUUGGCAGUGUCUUUCUUUAGAAACAAACCAGUUUCUGAGACAAAAUAUCACUCUUGAUUAUGUUGUUAGAAAUCAGAUACCAGCUAAUUACUUCCCAUAUGCAUUUACUAAAAUAGACCACUUUAUUUAAAAGCAAAUUAGGACACAGAAUGCUUUACUCUUUGUUAAAGGUUUCAAAUGGUCUCAAAUUGUAGAAUUCAGAUUCUUAGUGAAUUUCUGUGACUCUGGCAGAGGAAAUGUUUAUAACGAAGUAUAGCUUUUAAAACCUAGCAAGUAGGAGACCGUAUAUAUUGCAGUAUACUAAUAUUCUCAUGCUGUAUAGUUCAAACAGUAGUCAAGACCAAUCAUUUGGUUUUUGUGAGUUUAUUAAAACGGACUUCAUGAACAACCCUCUUCACAUAGUGCUUUACAAACAAAAUUUUACUUGCAGCUUGGCAACAAAAAGUCCAUCGUAUAAAAUUAAAUGUUAAGAAUGUCAAUAAGACACAAAAGUAGUAAAGCUUUGCAGGAUCCCUUCGUGAAUGCAUUGAUCAUACUGGUCCUAUGCAAUGAGAAAGCAAAAUGUUUUUUGCAAAUCCGCAGAUAUAAUUUUUAACAAUUUGCCUCUAAUAUAUAAUGCAUACUUAAAGACUGAUUAACCUUAUCUUGGUAUUUAGAAGCAAUCAGUGAAACCACACUCUUCCCGUCUUCAAUCACAUUACCUAGAGCUGCAGCCAUCAUACGUUCCACUGAAUUUCCUCUCAAUGGAGAAACAGAUGAUGGUCUUUUAUGUAGGCCCAGUUGUUGUUGUUUUUUGGAAUAGCAUGUUUCUUUGAAGUUUUGAAAUUCUAAUUUUCGGAAUUUAUAUGAUCCAGUGAUCUAAAUGAACGCAAUGAAUCAUUUCUGAUAAAUGCCGAUGAAUGUUUCAGUGGUGCGAUCAGCAGAACAAGCUGCUUUGAAAACACCUUCUGCUUGCCUGGACACUUGACUAAAAGUGCAACUUGCAAUAAUCUGUUCAAAUGUGUAGCUUAGGGAAGUUCAUAAACGAAUCAACUGUUGUCAUACAUUAAAUAAAAAUGAAAUAAAAACACAUUUUAGUCUUGGAAGAAUAUGAUGGGAGAUGUCUAAAAUUUGUAAAGGUUCUUAAAUCUAUGCCAUUUUUGAGAUUUCUUCUGAAACUAGAAAACAUUUAACCUCAUUGCUGUCUAGGGAAUCAUUUCUGAGAUUCAGAUACUGACAAGAUUCCAUUUGUGACUUUUAUUUCCUGUAGGGAACAAUGAUUUUUGUGUCUUACAACAAUGUCCUCUAGUAACAACAAAACAUAUCUUCUUGAAUAAACUUGAGUAAAACUAUAUAUGCACUCUUAAAUACAGAGUUUCUUUCUUUUAUUACCAUGUUUUAUUGUGUUUAUACAGUUCUGUGUUUUACCAGAGUGAGCGUGCAAAACUACAAUGUUUUAUUAAUUAUUUGUUAACUCUUUUAAUCCUCAUUUUAGGUAUUUAUUCUAAAGAAAGGGUUAAUUCUAUUGAAAAAAGAACAAGAAAAAUAUGUAUGUAAGGUAGGGAGCAACAUUUGAGGUGUUGUGUAACUUGUGAGAGAUGAGGAAGGUUUGUUAUGAGUGUUUUUCCCGAUUAAUCCUAUUUCUCUAAUGUAUUUUACUAUAGCACCAUAUUUUACAUUGUUCUGCAUGCUCUUUCAAAAGGCUUGCCAAAUUAAAUUAUUCAACAACCAUGUUUCUUAAUGAGGUUUAUCCUUUCCUUUUCAGAUUUUUGACAUUCUAUUAAAACAUGCUCUAUUA